AUUGAACGCUGGCGGAAUGCUUUACACAUGCAAGUCGAACGGCAGCACGGGGCAACCUGGUGGCGAGUGGCGAACGGGUGAGUAAUACAUCGGAACGUGCCCAAUCGUGGGGGACAACGUAGCGAAAGUUACGCUAAUACCGCAUACGAUCUACGGAUGAAAGCGGGGGAUCGCAAGACCUCGCGCGAAUGGAGCGGCCGAUGUCAGAUUAGGUAGUUGGUGGGGUAAAGGCUCACCAAGCCGACGAUCUGUAGCUGGUCUGAGAGGACGACCAGCCACACUGGGACUGAGACACGGCCCAGACUCCUACGGGAGGCAGCAGUGGGGAAUUUUGGACAAUGGGCGCAAGCCUGAUCCAGCCAUUCCGCGUGCAGGAUGAAGGCCCUCGGGUUGUAAACUGCUUUUGUACGGACGAAAAGGCUUUCUCUAAUACAGGGAGCUCAUGACGGUACCGUAAGAAUAAGCACCGGCUAACUACGUGCCAGCAGCCGCGGUAAU
RNAcentral lists this ribosomal RNA (498 nucleotides) under uncultured bacterium. RNAcentral describes it as "bacterial SSU rRNA". It matches the Rfam family "Bacterial small subunit ribosomal RNA", at positions 30 to 524 of the family's 1533-position model. The record is from RNAcentral.